Molecule: long non-coding RNA, 380 nt
Organism: Malaya genurostris
Lineage: Eukaryota; Metazoa; Arthropoda; Insecta; Diptera; Culicidae
Exons: 3
Source: RefSeq, a predicted model, not a curated record
UCAACCUACUAUGUAUUACAUUUGUGCUGACUAUACAAAUUGUCAAUGAACGGGUGUACUGUUAUUGUCACAUAAAGUUACAAUUUAGCAGAAAAUUUCGUACAUGGGUAACACAUCAGUGAUGAAUUUGAAAAAAAUAUUCUAUAUUGUGACUGUGUACUUUGGUAGGUCUUGCAGUGAAAUCAACAUCUCGUAUACGGUUUAUUAUUUAUUAUCGGUCGCUGUAGAAACAACAUCAAGCGAUUGAUGAAAAGGAAGAUUAUCAUUUGAUUCCCGGAUUCAAUUCGCUCGAAUCCGACGGAAAAUCGCAGGAAAAACUCCACCGGACAGAGCCUUGGAUCAACUGAUGCUAUCAAGCAAUGCUAAGCAAUAUUUCACCA